CUAUCAUAAAAAAAGAAAUUAUAAUUAUGAUGAAACCGUACUUUCAUUUAAACAAGCGUAGAAAAAUAGAAAUAUCAUGAAAAGAUGGAAGAGAAAUAAUAUUCGAUAUAUGUCAAAAAUGAUCGGGGCAGGUAGCCAGAGGUUAUUAAACGAAAUCUCUUGCUUGGCGCGUCUUUGUUUCUUCACCUACCGGUGAAACUAGUUUUCUCGCAGAGACCGUUUACCGUAACUGCAUCACAAACUAAAAAAAACGGCAAACGCACAAAUGUCACACAACGAACGUAUGCGCGUAGUUGAGACGAAAUACACGAUGAUUCCCACAACGAUCUUCGAGCAAAACUAACUAAAACUCAUUCGUCGAAAUCACUGGGAUAUCUCACUUUCUCGCGAACGGCACCCGUGGUGUUCAGUCACGCGUCACGCGGGUAAACAAACCAAAGUUGAAGUUAGGUACGAUUACGGAUGGAUAUACAGCGGGAAAUCGGCACAUUUAGGCCGAUUUAUAUUAUCUCGAAGCGAAAUCGACAAUCUACGGAGUGGUAUUGGCAACGGGCGAUCUAAAUCGACCACGUGAAUCGAUCGGCGCGUGCAGACGACGAUCACAGCUGGCAUGGAUCAUGCUUCGUUUUCCUUCGACGCGAACAGAUCCCAAGUUCCGAUUUUGACCAACCGUGGCGCCACUGUCGUUCAGCCACGUAUCCAAGAAGGAAAGAAAUCGCGGCCAGUUACUCACUCGUUCCUCUUUCGCGAAGGUGAAAGGGGAAGGGACCCAAGGUCCCCACCAUCUUUGUGUGCCCGUCUUCUUUUGAUUCCUUGAUAAAUAAAUAAAAAAAAGAAAAAUCUACUCUAGGAAAUUUGCAUCGAAUUUUAAUAAGAUUACAUUUUACCGAAGAUUUAAUAAGAUUUAUUUUUUUCGAUUUUGAUUUUUUCGUUGUUGAUUUUUUUUUUUUAUAUAUAAAUACGUUUCGUGCACGAAGAAACGAAGCUGCCAACUUUGCUGUUGGUCGAUCGGCUCAGUGCACACUUUGAGGAAGACAAAAAAGAAGAUUUGUCGACGGUAAAAAAGUAGAUUGAAAGUUGGGAGGGGGAGGGGGGGAGGAAUAUACGCCUGUUCUUGCGAAAGAUCUCGUUGGAUGGAGAUGAUGGAACGGAAUCUUGGACGGUUCGUUGACUCUGGACGCAUAUUAAAUUUCCACUUGCAACGUGUAAAAAUAUGAAUAAAAAGUAAUAUUACCAUCUAUAUAUAUAUUUUAAAGUAUAUAAAAUUGUUAUUGUAAAAAUGACAUUAUGGAUAAUAAGAGAAAGCCAACUCUUCUCUGUGCUUAUAUAAUUACUUUUUUCAUUAGUUUUGGAUUUUAUAGAAACUAGACAGCAAAAAUUGACAAUUGGAAUAUUCAUUAUUAAAUAAUUUUUAUAUUUUAAAAAAUAAUAAUAGGAAGAAAUAUUUCCCUUAAUAAUUUAAUAAAUCAUCGUUUCUCAACGAUCACUUUUUCACCAAGAUUUUCGUGCAAAAUCUCUCGACUCUAAACUCCUACAUCUCUUAUUAAAUUCUAUGUUAAACCUAAAAUUAGAUGUUAUACGAAGCAAUUGCGUGCACGAAAUUAGAGUACGAUAUUACGAAUCAAAUUUUCCAAAAAUCGCUGGUUAACAAUUAAAUAAUUAUAAAUCUUCCACAUCGAAUAACACGAUGAAUGGACACGCAACACACUAGUUAACAAUAUACUAAAUAAUUGUAAAUACAAUUCUAUUUAAAGAUCACGGAGUGUGCCGGUUAUCAAAAUAGCGGAAAAGGUAAAUGAGAAGCGUGAUAAAUGGUGGGUAAGCGUAUUUUAUAUAAUAAAUAUAUCGGGAACACGGGAUAAAGUUGAUAGAACGGAAUCUAUGUGGAACCGGUUCAUCCGCUUCUUUCGGUUCGAUGAAGUUCUAAAUACGGCCCUCCCUCGGUAACAGGAACCUCAAGGUUAACUGCUGCCUGUCGUAACAAUCCACGGGUGAAAUGACGGAUCGUUUGAAAAUAGUUGAAAAAUUCUUUCGCCGUUCUGCAAUCCUGUAAUUAUUUCGCUGCUGAUAUCGACUCACGACGACCCGAACGAAACGAGCUUUCCAUCCCCGUAUUAACGUGACUUAUUCAAGUGGGUCACAAAAGAAAACUCGUGAGACGUCGUAUUUUUUUCUCCAUCGUGAAUGGACGAAGAUACAAUUAAUUUUAUGCUCUAUAUAUG
Long non-coding RNA from Apis mellifera (honey bee), 2222 nucleotides. RefSeq lists it as uncharacterized. The transcript has 3 exons. The record is from RefSeq and is a predicted model, not a curated record. NCBI's taxonomy places the organism in Eukaryota, Metazoa, Arthropoda, Insecta, Hymenoptera, Apidae.